GAUGAACGCUGGCGGCGUGCCUAAUACAUGCAAGUCGAGCGAACAGAUGAGGAGCUUGCUCCUCUGACGUUAGCGGCGGACGGGUGAGUAACACGUGGAUAACCUACCUAUAAGACUGGGAUAACUUCGGGAAACCGGAGCUAAUACCGGAUAAUAUAUUGAACCGCAUGGUUCAAUAGUGAAAGACGGUUUUGCUGUCACUUAUAGAUGGAUCCGCGCCGCAUUAGCUAGUUGGUAAGGUAACGGCUUACCAAGGCAACGAUGCGUAGCCGACCUGAGAGGGUGAUCGGCCACACUGGAACUGAGACACGGUCCAGACUCCUACGGGAGGCAGCAGUAGGGAAUCUUCCGCAAAGGGCGAAAGCCCGACGGAGCAACGCCGCGUGAGUGAUGAAGGUCUUCGGAUCGUAAAACUCUGUUAUUAGGGAAGAACAAAUGUGUAAGUAACUAUGCACGUCUUGACGGUACCUAAUCAGAAAGCCACGGCUAACUACGUG
Molecule: ribosomal RNA, 497 nt
Filed under: uncultured bacterium
Lineage: Bacteria
Description: partial 16S ribosomal RNA
Rfam family: Bacterial small subunit ribosomal RNA
Source: RNAcentral